This is a long non-coding RNA of Oreochromis aureus, 1795 nucleotides long. RefSeq lists it as uncharacterized. The record is from RefSeq and is a predicted model, not a curated record. The transcript is spliced from 4 exons. NCBI's taxonomy places the organism in Eukaryota, Metazoa, Chordata, Actinopteri, Cichliformes, Cichlidae.
AUUUUCAACAAGCUUCAGUCACAUGAAAUCUUUACGUGAAUGGAAGUAACACAGUGUUACUUACUUUUGGUGGGGAUUUUAUGCGAAGUGAAAAUUUUCAACAAGCCUCGGUCACAUGAAAUCCCCACCAAAAUAAGGAAGUAACACUGUUACUUCCUUGUUUUGGUGAUGAUUUCAUGUGAAAUGACAAUUUUCAACAAGUCUCAGUCACAUUAAAUCCCCAACAAAACCUAUUCCACAAUACAUCGCCUCCUUCAGCUGAUUGUGCAAUGGUUAUAAAAGACAGCACCCACUGUAAAGCCGACACUUCUUCCAAGAUACAGGACAGAGAUUGGGAGCUGACGAUCUAAGCACGAGACCAAAACAUGAGAGUUGCAGUGGGUGCCAUUCUUCUCUUCCUGACUUUGUAUCAGGGAGAGGCACUGAGGUGUAACCUUUGUUUCUCAUGGCAGAGUGACCUCUGUACUCCUACAAGCAUCCAGACCUGUUCGGCAGGACAAAAUGCCUGUGCUGAUGUUAUAUUGCAAGGCGACGUCAGAGCUUCGUUCCGUCAGUGCAUGAACAUGGCGGUGUGUCAGGGCUUCAUUAAGACACCUGGUGUGAUCGCCCUAUGCUGCAGCACCGACCUUUGCAACUGAUCCUCUUCAUUUAAUCUCAGGAUCAUAUGAUCGCUGAUCACUGAUUCCUAAAUCAAGACUGGACGUUGUUAGCUUCAUAUCCUUCUUACACUGCUUCCAAUCAAGUGCACUUCUGUUUGCUUUCUCUUUAAUGGAAUGGUAUUUGUGUGUAGCUCUGUACAAGUGCCAUUUAAUUUAGACCUGACACAAAAGAUCAAAUAAACCAGUGAGCUUUGACUCUUAAUGUCACUAGAUGGCAGUGGCGCAGUAUACAACACAACGAGCCGCUGCUGCAUAUAUAUGUGUGUUUUCAUAUGUGUGUAAGAGCUUUAUUAAAAGACAAAUAGUGAAGCGGAGUGACAUUUUGAUAUCUGAGUUUGACGUCUUUUUUCUUCACAUGAUGAAUUUAAAUGACAAGCGGUGGGGUUUAUCACUUAUUAAAGCCAGGUCGUUUCACCUGAGGUUUAAUAAUGGAUUAUACUGAGCUGAACAUAUGCAAAUGCGACACAUUUUUCAGUCACAGGCAAAGAUCAGCUGAAAGAGAGAUAAAUGUGUUCUCCUCCGAGUGGGUUGCUUGCAUGCCUAUGAGCUGAUGGCUUGGCUUGUCACUUGUAAGAGUAAUGUAGCAUCAAAAGGCUAUUGUAUUAGUCAGUCUGUAAAUCUGAUACAGUGCCAACCAAAUUUAAUAUAGAGGAAGAAACCUCUCUGCUGAAAGAAGCUCUGCUAGAUGUGAGACGGGCAUUCUGUGCAAUAUUAGAAAUAUUACAGUCUGAGCAAUGCAUAAACAUCAACUGAAUCACAUAUGGCGAAUGACAAAUAUUUGAAGCCUGUCUCUCUCUAUACACUGAUCUCAGUUAAUUCAAUUAAUAAUUCAGCGAUUCCCAAUCACAGUGCAGUGGAUGCUCCUUUGGGAAUAGCUUCUCCCUUGAGACUGUGAAUACAUCUGUAUAAGCUUUGUGCAGUUGGACUUUUUUUCUUUUCUUUUUUUAACUCGUUCAGUCUUUGUCAGGCGGCUAAUGGUCCAGUCAUCAACUCUGAAAAAACCCCCUUCAGAUCUCAACAUAAUACGUAAUAAAUAACUUUGGCUUUUCUCCUGUUUCAUGGUCGGUGUAUGCAACUGCUUUAUCUGUUUGUUAUUCCUCAUAACAAGAUUUACAUAAUAAACAUGUUUUAUUUUA